AUGCAUGCCAUUAUAUAUUUCUCCCAUUUUGAUAAGAUCUUCUCCUCUGGAUAUAAUUAUCUCUGUUCCAAGAAAUAGAAGACAACACUAAUGGAUGCGAGGUAUGCUUGUGGCUUCUUAUUCAGCAUAACUGGAUCCCAUCCACGCAAGUUUAAAGAGGUUCCUUCCAUUAUCAUAAGUUAUCAUCUACCUCCCUGUUUUGUAGCAUAGUUCCUGGAUCAUGAUGAGCAAAAUAUUAGAGUGCGGAAAUUUAUGCCAUCUUUAGCCAUUACAAAACUAGGAAGCUAUUCCUCAGCAAAGUACUCCAAUAUAUAAAGGAAAGGCUUCUGGAUGCGAAGUAUGCAUGUGGCUUCUUAUUCAACAUAACUGGAUCCCAUCCACUUGAGUUUAUAGAGGACAAGCAUAACCUAAUGGAAGUUGUUCAAAUGUGUCACUGACUAAAGGCACUCCAACUUUCUAUGCAACGUGAUGUGAACUCGUCCUCCACUUAUCUAGAAAAUAUUCUCACAUAUUUGCUCCUUGCACUUUCACAUCAUCCUUCAUGUCCUAAUGUUGAUGAAUGCAAGGAGGUUCAAGCAUUUGAAUCAAUUUACUGAUGUGAAGGUGGGCAAUCAGGAGUUUCCCAAAAAGGGAAAAGGAAAGUCUUUCUACAAUACUAUCUUCCAAAAUAUAAUGGGAAAGGAUUUAUGAAGGUGUUGUGCAAUCUUAUAACCCAGGAAAGAAGAAACACGUGAUACUAUAUGACGAUGGAGAUGUGGAAGUUCUCCAGUUAGAUAAGGAGAAGUGGGAUGUUAUUAGUGAAGGUUCCGAGCCUAGCAAGUGACUUAAAUCAUCGAAUGUUUCCCCAUCCAAAGGAAUGAGUUCAUACUCGCAACAUUUUGGACAUGCUGCUUCACUGCUCCUGCACCCAAAUCCACCACUGCUUUCUCUUCCACUUUAUGCAACUAACUGGUGCCAAGUCCGUUGUCAUUGUAGUGGGCGGAAUGAUGUGAUUUCAUACCCCAACUGACCUAUGUGAAUAGUUUGGUUUCUGAGCAAUGAGAUGACUACCGGUGAUGGUAGGAUUAUGAAUCUUACUCAACUCGCAGAUGCCAAUUGACUGGUGUGUGCUUGUUCUGGGUUGUUCAUCUGCUGGGACCCAUGGUCCCCAUGUAUGUGUCAUGGCCCAAUGGCUAGGUCAGAGUGCUCAUCUGGUAGGCCAACGGAUUAAAUAAUUGACACUUACAAUCAUUAUCUGGCAUAUGUGUGUCACACCUAAUGGCCUGGUGAGCCAUUUUAUCUGUUCACACCAGUUUCAAGGUGGGGGUCCACCCGAUGAAUGGCCUGAUGUACAGGUGGCAAAUUGGCAUAUGUUGGGGACUAGGAAUAAAAAAUCCAGUCUUACAAGUAGCCAUACCAGGCAGGGUACUUGGUUUCGAGAAUGCAAUUUCCAUUAUACAUCUUGUACAUUGUUGUUGCUACAGGUCAGCCAAGGAGGAAAAAAGUAGGAUACCUGGUGCCUCAAGACGAAAUAAGAAUCCUUAUAAGAAAUUCAGGAGGAAAACGACUAUUAAGAAAAAUGUAAAGAAUAGCCAUAGUGGAAUGUCAGAAAGCAACAUUGGUGCUAAUGCCAACAAUUACGCCGAAGGAAGAGCUACCCCUGAAUUAUCAGAUUCUCACCCCGACACUUGUCCUGAAGUCAAUGAAGUUAAUUCAGAUGAUUUUGCAAAUGAACAAGCAUCUCCUUUAGCAGCCGCAAAGGAGGAGGAACGAGAGGCCUCAUCAGACCUGGAAGAAUCAGACAGAAGAGAAAAUGGAUUCUUCUGACAGAGGAGCUGCAGGAGAUUUGGAUGAUGAACCUCUUUUAAUCUCUCUUUGCCUUCUCAUCUUUGGACUAGAUUGCUUAGCAUCUUACUAGUUAUUCUCCCUCAUUUUGUUAUGUUUCUUCCAAUGCAGAGUAUGUGGAAGGUACCAGGAGCAAAAGUAGCCUAGAGCUUGGAGACUGGCCUUCUCUUUGAAAACUCAAAUGUUGGAUUUGGCUUUGUUGCCAUUGUCCCAACCAUGGUCUGUCGAUCUGAGUUGCUGAAGGAAGACAGACGUUUUCGUACCUACAAUAGAUGUUGCUAAUAAACUAUAGUAACACAAAUGCUGCGAGAAGGGCCAUGUAUAUAUAAUUUCCAUGGUUAUUGUAUGUAGCAUGUGUUUGUAGCCGUCUUGUGUAGAGAAGUUUAACCACUCAUCUUGGAUAGGUCAUAGCCAAAAAAUUACACAUCCAACAAUCCUAACCAUCUGAUUUGUUCCUUCAAAUGGACUGUUGAAAGGAAUCAUCUUGUGUGCGA
Long non-coding RNA from Magnolia sinica, 2318 nucleotides. RefSeq lists it as uncharacterized. NCBI's taxonomy places the organism in Eukaryota, Viridiplantae, Streptophyta, Magnoliopsida, Magnoliales, Magnoliaceae. The transcript has 11 exons. The record is from RefSeq and is a predicted model, not a curated record.